UACGGAGGGUGCAAGCGUUGUCCGGAAUCAUUGGGCGUAAAGAGUUCGUAGGCGGCACGUAAAGUCUGGUGUUAAAGGUCGAGGCUCAACCUCGGUAUGGCACUGGAUACUUGCGAGCUAGAAUGCGGUAGAGGUAAAGGGAAUUCCUGGUGUAGCGGUGAAAUGCUUAGAUAUCAGGAGGAACAUCGGUGGCGUAAGCGCUUUACUGGGCCGUAAUUGACGCUGAGGAACGAAAGCCAGGGUAGCAAAUGGG
This 253-nucleotide ribosomal RNA is filed under the name uncultured bacterium. Its description in RNAcentral is "partial 16S ribosomal RNA". It matches the Rfam family "Bacterial small subunit ribosomal RNA", at positions 524 to 776 of the family's 1533-position model. The record is from RNAcentral.